Long non-coding RNA from Tachysurus vachellii, 1418 nucleotides. RefSeq lists it as uncharacterized. Lineage: Eukaryota; Metazoa; Chordata; Actinopteri; Siluriformes; Bagridae. The transcript is spliced from 2 exons. The record is from RefSeq and is a predicted model, not a curated record.
UGAGGAAUGAAAGUCUGUUAAAAGAGGAGGAAAGAGUUUCAUAAAUACCUUCAGCUACAGGAGUAUUGAAGCCUGUAGCGACACGACCGGAGUAUGACAUGUCUCGUCUCGCCUUGUCCCUCCACACACACACACACACACACACACACACACUCCAUUAUAAAUGUCUGUAUAAACGUUCUCUCUCUCUCUCUCUCUCUCUCUCUCUCUCUGUAUAAAUGCUUAUAAAAUAAAUGCUAUUUUUCUAUUUUUUUCCCCAGAAGGCUGUAUAUCCCAGGCUCACUGUGCAUCCACUCAUCCAUGCUUCCUAUCCUUCAUUCCACCGGAGUCUGUGUGUCUGUGCAAUCAGAUUUCAGUGGUGUGAAGAAUACGAGACAUGGGCCUGCCCUCGUUGUCUUCUUCAUCAUCAUGAUCAUCAAAUUUAAUUUGUUCAAAAUGUGGUUCUGUAAUAUAAUAUAAUAUAAUAUAAUAAUAAUGAAUUACGAACUAAAGAAUUUUUUUUAUUGACCCUUGACAUAAAGAGCCUGUCUGCACAGCUAAAAGGACCCAAAAAAGUUUAAGUAUUAAAAAAAAAAUAAAAAAAUCUGUUAUUUCUGUCUGUGAUAAGAGAGAGAGGAUUAACUGGCUCUCUCAGGACCUGUCACUAGUCUCACUGUUUAUUAAUCAAAAGCCAACCAUUUAUUAGAAUUUAAUAGAAAUUUAAAAACUAUAUUCAAAUUCAUUAUUUUUGAAUUAAUAUGUAUUUAUUGACUGAAAUAAACAAGAAAAAACAUUUCUUCCCAUGACCAUGUAGGCAGAGGUAAUAAAAGAUAGCACUACCUGUGCCCUGGUGUUGAUUUGGCUGUGUGGUUCAGUGGACCUGCUUAGUCCCUAAAUCAGGAAAAAAACAUUAGUUUCUGCACACGACCAUGCGGAGGUGUUGAGAGCGCUCGUAAACAGAUGUAAACACUACGACAUGUACAUUAACCAGUAAUAAUGCACCCACUAUCACCAUCCACAUCAUAACCACUGAAGUAAGAAGUGACACAGGCUUGUAAUCAACGUAAACCCUAAACAUGGUUCAGUUCGUUAGCGUUACCGCAGAAUCGAAGCAGAAAAACCUGAGAUCAAGAACUAAUGUACUUCUGAUUGGUCCGUUAACGAGACUGCGGUCAGAAGCGUUGAAUCUGCACAAAGUACACAGUGAAUAAGAAGUGAAAGAAGGGACGUGCUAAAGAAUGAUCUGAUUAAACUAAAGAAAAUAAACAAUGCCUCGAAGAUAACGACGGCACGACGACGCAGAGUAGGUCCGGACGAGUCGUGAUCAGUUUUGUCACUCCGUCAGAUAAAUGUUUUAUCGGUUCGGAUGAAAAUCAGAGUCGUGUUUUACAGUGUGGAAGGGAUCGGGUUACAGGAAUAAAUUCAGUGACCAAAUAAAA